AUUGAACGCUGGCGGCUUGCCUUACACAUGCAAGUCGAACGGCAGCGCGGACUUCGGUCUGGCGGCGAGUGGCGAACGGGUGAGUAAUACAUCGGAACGUACCCUGUUGUGGGGGAUAACUAGUCGAAAGAUUAGCUAAUACCGCAUACGACCUGAGGGUGAAAGUGGGGGACCGCAAGGCCUCACGCAGCAGGAGCGGCCGAUGUCUGAUUAGCUAGUUGGUGGGGUAAAGGCCCACCAAGGCGGCGAUCAGUAGCUGGUCUGAGAGGACGAUCAGCCACACUGGGACUGAGACACGGCCCAGACUCCUACGGGAGGCAGCAGUGGGGAAUUUUGGACAAUGGGGGCAACCCUGAUCCAGCAAUGCCGCGUGUGUGAAGAAGGCCUUCGGGUUGUAAAGCACUUUUGUCCGGAAAGAAAUCGCGCUGGUUAAUACCUGGCGUGGAUGACGGUACCGGAAGAAUAAGCACCGGCUAACUACGUGCCAGCCGCCGCAGUAA
RNAcentral lists this ribosomal RNA (500 nucleotides) under uncultured bacterium. RNAcentral's name for it is "partial 16S ribosomal RNA". It matches the Rfam family "Bacterial small subunit ribosomal RNA", at positions 30 to 523 of the family's 1533-position model. The record is from RNAcentral.